UACGUAGGGUGCGAGCGUUAAUCGGAAAUACUGGGCGUAAAGCGUGCGCAGGCGGUGAUGUAAGACCGAUGUGAAAUCCCCGGGCUUAACCUGGGAACUGCAUUGGUGACUGCAUCGCUCGAGUAUGGCAGAGGGGGGUAGAAUUCCACGUGUAGCAGUGAAAUGCGUAGAGAUGUGGAGGAAUACCGAUGGCGAAGGCAGCCCCCUGGGUCAAUACUGACGCUCAUGCACGAAAGCGUGGGGAGCAAACAGG
RNAcentral lists this ribosomal RNA (253 nucleotides) under uncultured bacterium. RNAcentral's name for it is "partial 16S ribosomal RNA". It matches the Rfam family "Bacterial small subunit ribosomal RNA", at positions 524 to 776 of the family's 1533-position model. The record is from RNAcentral.